CCGGUCCUUGAAAGAGCGUAAUCAGUCUAGCUCGUCAUGACUCGAUCAUGGCCUUAGGCUGAAUGGGUCCUGUCCGGCAGAAAUAUACCGGCAAGCACAGAGCAGUCGUCCACAGGGGUUCCUUAGAGUGGUCUCACCCAAACUAUAGAGAAAGAUAGACCGAUGCACAGAAGUCUUCCCAAGUCGGUUGCUUAAGGUGAUUCGUCUGACCAGUCCAAGAGGAAUGGGAUCUUAGUAGAUCUGAUUUCGCGAGAUUCGAUCCCCAAUAUGAGACUGGAUGCCGAAGCUUUCUAAUAAGAAUGUAGAAUAGAAGAUAUAAGACCAUAGAUGAUUGACCUCGAAGAUAUAAGACCAUAGAUGAUUGACCUCAUAGUUCCCUAAUACCAUGACUUAAACAACUGACUCGUAUUGGAACCUUGUUUAUAUUGUUUUUCGUAGAGGUACAUAGGGAUCGAUCGGGGCAUUGCCAGGGCGGUGGGAGACAAGUGACUAACUACAGUGACAAGGAAAGCAAUGGAAUGUGUAAACUAUCAAGCAUGCUGUAGCGCCUCCACCAUGUCAUUUCUUUCCAGAUAUCCGAUGGUGCCUGUGGAACUGUUGUGGCGGGGGCAGGAUUUGCACCUUAAUUCUUCAAAUACGGAGCCUUUCUAGUGCACCAUUACUCUACCCCGCUUCGUACCCUUAUCCUUCGUAUCCUUCAUCGUCGUUGGUCCUUGUAAAUCUAUGGCUUUCUUCUAUAUAUGAGAAUUGAUAGAAAACAGCGCUCCUAAAUAAAGCCCCCCCCCCCAACCAAUUCAAGAGUACGCGAAAGGCUGGCUCUUCUUCUUUUGAGAAUGAAGGGGAUCUGACUUCUUAGAAGGAGAUGGGCUACCUAUAUCUUUGUAUGUACGGGUCUCGAUAAUGGAAGAGAGAACAGAAGAAAGGUAAGGUCAGUGUAGAGAAGCUCGGUAAGUUAGAGUGUUCGUCUUCCCCCGACCGAAGGAGAAAGAAAGGAAUCAAUCACCCAAGCAAAAACAAAGACAGAGUUCUAUAAGUGGGGCGCCCAGUGGAAUCGAUUUCAGUAUGCCGGAAAUAUGGGUUUCAUAGAGAACAGAACUUUGACUGCGCCCAAGGAUAUUGAGUCUACUAAGCUUUUGCAGUUGAGGCUUUCCUUCUUGCUAUAAGCCUUUCCUUCUCUCCCCAAGAGCAAACCAUGGCAUUCGAUGCAACAAAAGGAUUCAUUCAAAGCCUUUACGCCGAAAGGACUAAGAGCUCCCAGGAAGGACGAGAGACACAAAUAUCUAUUUCUCUUACUUAUGAUAUUCUGACUUAUGAUAUGGAUUUGUCAAGCUUUUAGACUUGGAAGGACUGGCGCACUCUAUAGACAAAAAAGAGUCAGACCAUGGAUCUUAUAAUACGUGACCGGUGUACUUACUUCAACACAAUAAGCGUGGGCCUCUUCUAGAGAAGCACAGUCUUUGUCUUGGUCCCAACUACAUCUGCUAUAGCAUUUGAAAACGGUGUUUUUUGUAUGUAUUUCGCGGAACCCAAUAACUGAAACCUAAAACUAGCUGGUGCGAAAUGAAGACCACCGCGGUAAACUGCGCAUCGUGUUAAGGCUAGGUUGAAUCUAUAAUAGACAGGAAACAUCUGUUCUACUUACUAUAGGGGACGACGGUUCAAGCUACAUCGGAGCCAAAGAUUCCUUCUAUAAACACUAAGCCCAGCGGCCCAAGCGGCCUUUGCAAGACUCGCCUCCAAUAAAUUGUAUAACUUGGAGCAAGUAUUGACUUUGCCUGACCUACAAAAAACCAUAGAGUCAUUUCAUAGAUUCAAAAGCUUCCUCCCAAUAGAAACUAUGAAAUCCAAACUCUACAAGGUUAGAGUAAACAUCAUAUAGAUAAUAGGGGUCUAGCACAGCCUCUUCUCCAAUCACCAUCCUCUUUCGGGAGACCCGUUUUUUGGCGCCCCUAUUUCCUCUAUCUUCUCUUGAAAGAAACCAGAAAAAGAAUCCGGUUUGUUUUCACUGAGAUCUUGUGUAGAAGAAGAGUCAUUUCGGACCCAAGUGUAUGCCUCAGAAGCCUUACUAGUUUCAUCAGCACGGCUUUCCGAAUGACUAGUUAUAUCUGCGGAGAUAGAAUGAGAAAGGUUACGCGAUUUCAACGAAAUUGUUCUAUAGUUCUCGGGUCAAGGUUCGACCCAUUAAGAAAAAGACGGUUCAUACCUUCGGUAAACUAAGAAAUGCCCAUUCCUUCGAGACAGAAACACUUUUGGAGUUGUGCGAGACAGAAACACUUUUGGAGUUGGUUGUUUACCAACAUAAAGCAUGGGAGAAAAGGCGCCCUAUCGUAUGGAGGUGAUACACUGUUUUUCGAUUUGAAUAGAAAGAAGGCUGGGUCCUGGAGAUGCUGGAAGCAGCUGUUUGAUAGUGCGGGAAGACCUGGCUAAGCAAAUAAGGUAAACAAGAAUUCUAGAUGGGGAAGUCAAGUGGAAGGCGGGUUAGGUAACCAAGUCUUACAUUCAUUCGCUUUCUUUUCUGUGAAAGUCAAUCAGAAGGCUCAGCUCAAGUGAGUAAUUCGAAAAGGGGGCGGGUCUCUUUCAUAGUGUUUUAUCGGGUGAUGGGGAAUCCCGACAGUAGAAAGGGUAGAUCGAAAUAAUCAGAAAGACCAAACUACUAGCUUCAAGCUCGAGCACACAUAAAUAGGAGAUCCCUCGUCUCACCUUUGCGGAUCCGAGAGCAUGGCUAACUUAUUUUAGGGACUCCCGCUUCUAGCAAUAGUGAAGAUCCGACCGCCCGAAUCCUGUUUAGGUACUUAGGUACAACAGCUCAGAGGAGAGCAUUUCCACUUUAGCAUAAUACUCUAUACUCGAGCAUUUCCACUUUAGCAUAAUACUCUAAACUCUAGAUAGAACAUU
This 2895-nucleotide long non-coding RNA is filed under the name Musa acuminata (dwarf banana). Its description in RNAcentral is "long non-coding RNA (MACU_LNC008870)". Lineage: Eukaryota; Viridiplantae; Streptophyta; Magnoliopsida; Zingiberales; Musaceae. The record is from RNAcentral.